This 7724-nucleotide long non-coding RNA is filed under the name Lathyrus oleraceus (garden pea). RNAcentral describes it as "Pisum sativum (pea) long non-coding RNA (PSAT_LNC033114)". The record is from RNAcentral. Lineage: Eukaryota; Viridiplantae; Streptophyta; Magnoliopsida; Fabales; Fabaceae.
UCUGUUAGCUCUUCUCUCACUAUCUUUUUCCCAGGUUAGGUAAGGGUUUUGUUCCAUGGAAACCUCAGAUUGUUUUUGCUUCUCUUCCUUUUUCUGUCUGUUCUCCCUUUUUUAUAACCUGAUUUUCAUGGCUUUGUGGGCUCAAAUGAGAGAGGUCCAAGUCUGAGAUUUUUUCUUUUAUUUAUUUAUUAUUAUUAUUAUUAUUAUUAUUAUUAUUAUUAUUAUUAUUAUUUUUGCAUAACACGUGGGCUUCGCCUAGCGAGCAUGACAACUCAUGAAGAUUGCCGGAUUGAAUGAAACGGUGAUAUAACACGGAUGAACUCAGAUCGCAGUUAUUCGCUUAUUCCCUAACUUUUGCGUGGACCGCCCUUUUGGGUUUUCAAUCCACCGGGAUACCCUUUUUUGCGUGAGCCGCCCUUUCGGGUUUUCGACUCACCGGGUGUACAUUUUUUAUUUAUUUUUAUAUCCCUAAUUUUUGCCCGAACCUCUUCAUUCUUUUUUUUGGUUCAUCGGGAUGCCUCUUUUUUGCCUGGACUAUUCUUUUUACUGUCCAGCGGGUCUAUUUUAUGCGAAGUAUUUUUUAACUGCGUCUAAGUUGACAGGGGACGGGAAGUCUUUGCCAUCCAUGGUUGUUAGCGUCAGAGCUCCGCCAGAGAAAACUCUUUUAACCACGUAUGGACCCUCGUUGUUCGGUGUCCAUUUGCCCCUGUGAUCUGUUUUGGGAGGAAGAAUUCUUUUGAGUACCAAUUCACCGACUCGAUACUCCCGAGGGUGCACUUUCUGAUCAAACGCUCUCUUCGUCCGUCUCUGAUAUAGCUGGCCAUGGCAUAUAGCUGCUAGUCUCUUUUCCUCAACUAGGCUUAGCUGAUUGUAUCGAGAACGGACCCAUUCUGCUUCGUCCGGCUUCAUUGUUGGUGCAGGGAAAAGUUAUUCUGGCACAAAAUGGCAUAUGAACCCCCUCCGGUGUGAUCAACACUGCACCAACUCCGCGACCAUUGACGUUGACCGCCCCAUCAAACAUCAUAAUCCAUUUGGAUUCAGGGUCAGGCCCCUCCUCCGGGAGUGGUUCCUCGCAAUCUUUCGAUUUGAGAAACAUGAUGUCCUCAUCAGGAAAGUCGAACCUCAUAGGUUGGUAAUCAUCAAUCGGUUGCGCGGCAAGAUAGUCUGACAAGACACUUCCUUUGAUGGCUUUUUGUGAAGUGUAUUGGAUGUCAUACUCUGUCAGCAUCAUUUGCCACCUAGCAACCCUGCUGGCUUUUCAAAAAUAUACUUGACUUGAUCCAUCUUUGAUAUCAAUAGAGUCGUGUGAGUCAACAUAUACUGUCUUAGUCGGCGAGCAGCCCAUGCCAAAGCGCGGCAAGUUUUCUCGAGCAGUGAGUAUCUUUGUUCACAGUCGGUAAACUUUUUGCUAAGGUAGUAUAUUGCAUGCUCUUUUCGACCUGACUCGUCAUGCUGACCGAGCACACAACCCAUUGACCUUUCUAACACAGUCAAGUACAUGAUCAACGGUCUUUUCCUCUCGGCCUGUAGACUGGCCCCGAUCUUGAUCUCUUUCUUGUCGUCUUCGGUACCAACGUUGAUGGUCUCAACCACCUCCUGAUAAGGUGUAAUAGCUCGGUCCUCCUGUUUCAACAAUCUGGCUAACCCUUCAGGCAAUUCACAAUCUUCCUCAACCCCUUCUUCGGCUUGAUAGAUAGGAUUGUCGAAGUCAUACUUGGCCAUAGCAGUGUCGUUAGCAGUGAGAUCCGAGUGGUCGGCUCUGCAUGAUGGAGGAUCAUGCUUUACCUUAGAAUGAGAGAUUUUUUUUUGAAAGAAAGGAAAAACGAAAAAAGAAACAUUGCCAUUUUUUUUGUAAAAAGUAAAAAAAACUGAAAGAAAGAGAACACAAAAUUGUUUGCAAAAGCCGUCCUUUAUUGAUGAUAAAAAUAAUUGCGAAAUGUAACUAAAUGGAUGGCCCUACAAAUGAGCCGUUACACCUUGGGCAAAGUGUAAGACUUUAUUAUGCAUGUAAUAAAGGAAAACAAUAAAAAUCACUCUUUCAGUAGAGUAACCCGGACGGUUUUUUCAGACGACCAAUUGUCGAGCUUUUCUCCCGGGACACACGGGCGAAUCCAGCUAUCUAAGUCACAGUCGCUGUCAGCCUUGUCUUCAUCUGCAGCAUUGACGAUGUGGGGAGAAACCAAACCCCCGCUGGAGAGAGUACCGGUUUCAUUCUUCUGAGAUCCCGGAGCAUACCCCAAUCCAAACUUGUCUUCUUUGAUGACUGGCUCCACAAAUUUGCCCCAGCCUUGGGCAUUACCAGCUUUAACCACUUCGACAGCUUGCUUGUAUGAAGAGAUAGAAGUCCCGACCUUCUCAAACUCAGGUGAAAAGACAGCUUCGGGCGCGACCUCAUUGAUGUUUAUGGCUUCGAAGCCCUGACACAGCAUCUCGUGCAUCUCGCCGUCCAUCUCUACAUACUUAAAUGUAGACAGGUGGCUAACAAAAAUAUCCUCUUCACCACAGACAGUGACGACCUGACCUUCUAGUUCAUAUUUGAGCUUCUGGUGGAGGGUAGAAGUAACAGCACCGGCAACAUGAAUCCAAGGCCGACCUAGCAGACAGCUGUAGGCAGGCUGGAUAUCCAUCACAUAAAAGGUGCUCUUGAACACCUGCGGUCCAAUCUUAACUGGCAACUCAACUUCGCCAAAGACAGCUCUCUUAGAGCCAUCAAAAGCCCUCACAACUAAGUUACUUGGCCUCAGGAUGGUGUCAUCGCAAUCCAACUUCAUUAAGGCUUUCUUUGGAAGAACAUUCAGAGAAGAGCCUGUAUCAACCAAAACAUGGGAAAGCAUCACCCCUUUGCACUCCAUUGUGAUAUGCAAGGCUUUGUUGUGAUUCCUGCCCUCAGAUGUCAGGUCAUUAUCGGUGAAACCUAGCCCCCGGCUAGCGUUUACAUUGGAAACUACCGACUCCAGCUGGUUAACAGUUAUCUCCGGUGGAACAUAGGCCAUAUUCAGUACUUUCAACAAGGCUGCUCUGUGCGCCUCAGAGCACAGCAAUAGUGAGAGAAUGGAGAUCUUUGAGGGUGUCUGAUUUAGCUGGUCGACUACCUUGUAGUCACUUUUCUUGAUAAUCCUCAUAAACUCAUCCACUUCCUUCUCGAAUGCGGUCUUAGGAGGAGCUUCCUCGGUAGUAACCUCUUCGGUGGAUACCUGUUUUCCUUUAGCCUUGGCAGUUGCCUCAGCUUCAGCAUUCGUGCGUAAUGUUGAUGGUGCAAAUAGGCAUCCACUGCGAGUGAAGCCACCAAUUCCUCCAACAUUGUCUACAGCGGAGCUACCAAUGUCAAUGUCUUCUUCAUUAACUUUCUUCCCCUGGAAGUAGAUAUCAGCCCCAUAAUGCCACGGGAUAGAACUGUCUUUCUCAUACGGAACAGGUCCUGGUACCGUGAUGGUGACCGGACCAAUCAAAGUCGAUUGAGGGUUGUUAGAGUAAAUUGGUGCUGGACUUUCUGGGAAAUAUAUUGUUGUCGGAGCGGGUCUCUCGGGAACAUAUAUUUCUUUAGGAGUAAAAUAAAACGUUACUAUCGACACAUCAUUCUUCACUGGACGAGUCUGAUCGAACUGAAGACAACCUUCAUCUAUCAGUUGCUGAAUACCCCUUCUCAAACUAUCACAUCCAUUCUCGGCAUCUUGACAAUUUCUGCACUCUUCCCCACAGCCCGGGAAAAUCUGUCCUUUCAAGAGUUGGUCUUUGACCACCGAUAGCGAAGUAUUCACUUUAGUCACAUCAGAAACCAAAUUCAAAGUUUCCCCACUAUCAACAUCAUUAAUCCUCUGCCCGCCGUGAGCUGGCAUCGGGUUUUGGAUAACAUUAGGCACCGGAGAAAAAUUGAUGGCCUGGGCGUCUCUCAAAUCUUGUACCUUUAGCUGGAGAGCCUUGCAAUUAUCUGUAGUAUGACCAGGUGCGUUGGAGUGAAAAUCACAUCUGGCGUUGACAUCAUAACCUCUAGGCAGAUUGUUGGGAUCGACCGGUGGGGCCAGAGUUCUCAAUGUAACCAGGUUCAUGUCAAUCAGCUUGGGAAGUAAUAUAAAAUAAGGCAUUGGAAUUGGCUCAAUGACCCGGUCCGCCUGCCUUGGACGUUGUUGAUAGGGUCUCUGCUGACCCGGAUUACCUUCUUGUUGUUGAUUGUUGUACCUGGGUUGCUGUUGCGGAUGAUACUGCGGUUGAGGAACAGGUGUUGGAAUAGUGACUGCGGCCACUUGAUCUUGAUAAUAAUUAGGGCGUCCUCUGCCCCUGCCUCUGCCGGCAUAUACAACGCUCGUCUCACCUUCUCUUCUUCGUUGACCGUUACCAGCAAACGGUUUCUUGGGAAUUGAUGAGUUAGAAGCAGUGUUGACUUGAAUUCGGCCCAUCUUCAACAGACUCUCGAUCCUUUCUCCAGCAAUCACUAUCUCUGCAAAGCUGAUUGACGGGCAAGCAACCAAUCUCUCAAUAUAAUUGCCUUGAAGAGUGUUCAUGAACAUGUCCUCCAUCUCCCUUUCAGACAUAGGGGGUUGGACGGAUGCAUCAAUCUGUCUCCAACGCUAAGCAUAUUCUCUAAAGGUUUCCUUGGCAGUCGGAGACAUUCCUUACAACAAGGUCCGAUUUGGAGCCAUGUCCAAGUUGUAUUGAUAUUGCUUGACAAAAGCCUCUGCCAAGUCUUUCUAGCUCUUGAUGGUAGUACGAGACAAAUGAGAAUACCAUUCACGAGAAGCUCCAGUUAAACUGUCUUCAAAAUAGUACAUCCACAGCUUUUCAUCUUCAGUGUGAGCUCCCAACCUUCCCAGAUAAGAUUGGAGAUGAGUGCGUGGGCAAGAAGCCCCGUUGUAUUUCUCAAAAGUAGGGGGUUUGAACUUGUGAGGAAUCCUUACUCCCUGAACCAGACCAAGAUUUGUGACAUCAAAACCUAAGGAAUUUUGAGACUCCAAAGAUUUGAGCUUCUCAGCAAGCUCAUCCAUACGGCGAGUGGUCUCGAGGGCCUCGUCGUGCAAAGAAAAUUGAUCAUACUGACAAUCUUCAGUAACGGGGCGCCCGUUAAUCCGAAUCCCUUGAUUCACAUUGUACCUUCCGCCAAUACCAUUCCCAACAUUUCCCGUGUUGCCAACAUUACCCGGGUUUCCAUCAACAUUUGCGUUACCCGCGUUUCCAGUGUUCACAGGGUUAUCAGCGUUCCCAGGGUUACCAGGGUUCCCCUCAGCACUUGGUAUUUCCACCUCUGGAUCGGGCCUCGGUUGCUCAACCAAUUCCCUCAGCUUUUCUUGGCCUUCUGCCAUACCAGUCAUCAAUGUCAUGAACUGAUCCAUCCUUUCACGCAUAUCAGCCAGUUCUUUCUGUAUCUGGUCCAUUGCUAGUCGUGGACGGUUUUCCUUUGUCGGGUACCUGUGAACUCGCUUGGGACCAAUAACUGCCUGAAACAGGGAACAAACAUUAGACACUGCGGUGACACCUGCAAAACAAACAAGGGUUAGUAUGCAUGGUAUGCGAUGCACUGCUUAUUCAAUUUUAAGGCCCCCCCUUAAAAAGGGAAUACCCUGCAAAUGAAUAAGCAUGAGAUGUUGGAUGCAAAUAUGCAGAUGAUGUUAUGCAAUGCAAUGGCAUGUCAAUCAGAAUUGCUGGAUCCGCUUGAACAUCUGUCAGGUUGCACUGCCUGGAGAGAAAUUAAGAGGAUCAAGCAAAGCACACCAAACAAAGGUCAUGGGAUGGAUCAUGUUAUCCUUAAUAUCAACCAUCCAUUUUUGGUGGAUUAUGGUUUACACCUUAUCAACACCCAAGUUUCAUUGAUAUUAAGGAUACCUGAACGGAUCAACCAUGAAUCAAGGGUUUGUUGCAAGUCACGAGCAUGGAGUUUAGGUUAAGAACCACCCAAAGGGAGUGUACUAAGGUUUAAACCUGCCAAACAUGUUCUACAAAAGGUUCCCAUAGUCAUAAUCCCAUCUUUCGGAUAUUAUCGGAGGAACGACUACUCGUAUUCCAAAAAUAUUCUCAAGAGAGACUCUUAUGAGUGUAGUAUCGCGUAACAAUCGUAUCAAAUCUUACACUUGAACGACUUUCGCACUACGUCCUACGAAUAGGCCAAGAUGGGUUUGGUAAACUAAGGUCCUUGGCUUCUAAGGUCUAUAUUGGAAAAAGUAAUGUCUAACCACAACUUACUUGUGUGACAUUAUUGAUCCCAACAUGACCUCCACCAAGUGAAUGGGCUUGCAAGUCAACUUGCUAAGGAAUAAAUCCACACAAGUCAACAAGACUAUGCCAUUCUCCUAUCCUAAGUGCACUCGAGUUCGGGUAUAUAACUCAUCUCACAAACAGAACCAGCAGAUACGGUAGUCAUAUGUACACAAUGCAAUAAAACAGGUAAAUGCUGAAAGAUAAAUAACUGUACAAAAGAAUAAACACCCAAUAAACAAACAACCUACAAAAUCUAGGAGGGACUCGCUUGGGGAAACCGGGUCCCCAGCAGAGUCGCCAGCUGUCGCAACCUUAAAAAUGGAAUGCGAAAAAAAACAACCGGCGAAGAAAGACAGGAGAGUCGCCACCGUGCGUUAUUCAUCCCAAAGGAGGGAAAGGAAACGCUCGAAGUAAACCUAGAAAAAGGAAAGGACAAGACAGGGUCUCGCAACCAAAUCUUGGGUUCGGGAGUCAAGUAUGCGAAGGGAAGGUAUUAGCACCCCUACGCAUCCGUAGUACUCUACGGGAUCCACUUUUGUAGUUCUUGUCUAAAGGGUGUGGGUUUAUCUAAUGUGUUAUUUACUAAAAAAAAGGGGUCAAAAGAAAAUGACUCGCACGGAUGUCGCAUCCACUGCAUACGUAUCUCAUCUGAAUAUGAGAAUCAGAGUCUUCGUAGCUCGGCUACCUAGGGGUUAAGGGUAAUUGUGCUCGCUAAGACAUCGCGUCUUAUGCCUACGUAUCUCAUCUGGAAUGAGAAUCAGAGCAAGCCGUAGUUCGGCUAACUACGGGGUUAUGGAUUGGGUUUUGGACGAACGACGUUACUACGCAAUCUACCGGAUGCUCGACCUUUGGAGACUUACUCGCCUGUAGUAGAAGGAGUUAACGUGUUCUUAGGAGAAGAAAAAUCAAUGAAAUGUUUGCGUUUUAGGAACGCGCAUGCAAAAGGAGUCCUGGACGAAGGAACCUGUAAAAAAAAUAAACACACAAAAACAUUGCCUCCUAUCGAGGUCUUCCAGCUAGGAAAGCAGUAAAAUGCAGGAAAAAUGUAAAAGUACCACGCGGAUAAAGAUCCGAAGUAACAACAAUUAGAGGAAUGGGAAACCCAGGGAUCCUUCCAAGCUGAUUGGAGAGAUCGAUUAAAAUUGAGUUGCACCCGUGGGUUUGUAGAGCAAUCUUGGGGUAGAUAUGAGGUAAAGGUUAUUAUGUGCAAAUGAGUUUCCUUCAGGGUCUGGAAGUUGCACUGAACUCUGUUAGCUCUUCUCUCACUAUCUUUUUCCCAGGUUAGGUCAGGGUUUUGUUCCAAGAAACCUCAGAUUGUUUUUGCUUCUCUUCCUUUUUCUGUUUGUUCUCCCUUUUUUAUAACCUGAUUUUCAUGGCUUUGUGGGCUCAAAUGAGAGAGGUCCAAGUCUGAGAUUUUUUCUUUUAUUUAUUUAUUUAUUAUUAUUAUUUUUUUUAUUUUUUUGCAUAACACGUGGGCUUCGCCUAGUGAGCAUGACAGCUCAUGAACAAACCUUUGCUCCUUCAAGAUUAACGUUUUG